GUGAAUGGAUGUCGCGCGUCGCUGCAACAGUAUAAUUCUGAUAUCCGUUGUGAGCGAACGUUGGCAAUAAUUAAUCGUUGAUUCAACCUGUGUGAUACCGUUUUGUUUACUUGGAUUUCUCAGUACCAAUCCACGUAUAAGUGACAUCGAUUCCCUUCUGGUCGUGUUUUGUAAAACUAUUUUCACAAUGGUACUUUGACUGAGCAAUGCGACUUGUCUCCGAUUCGUAUACUGAACGCUUUGAUCCGUUGAUAAUAUCACCUGUACCAAUAACAGCGCUACAAAGUUGGGGUCGUAAAGACGAUCUGCAUUUCAAGCCAACCGAUUACUCAGCUUUGGAAGUAGCCCGGCAUCGGGUCAGUCCAUUCCCGGUAUCAGACAGUAUUAAUAACAGGUUCAUAAUAUGGGAAGGUGAUAUAUCGUUGCUGAAAAGCCGAUGCAAUAACAAACACCACUGACGAAACGCUGACCGAAAAGAAUAUCAUUUCCGAUCGGAUUUUCAGUCGAGCU
Molecule: long non-coding RNA, 510 nt
Organism: Bradysia coprophila
Lineage: Eukaryota; Metazoa; Arthropoda; Insecta; Diptera; Sciaridae
Source: RefSeq, a predicted model, not a curated record